This 152-nucleotide small nuclear RNA is filed under the name Mesocricetus auratus (golden hamster). RNAcentral's name for it is "U1 spliceosomal RNA (ENSMAUG00000004390.1)". It matches the Rfam family "U1 spliceosomal RNA". From Rfam's summary of the family: U1 is a small nuclear RNA (snRNA) component of the spliceosome (involved in pre-mRNA splicing). The record is from RNAcentral. Lineage: Eukaryota; Metazoa; Chordata; Mammalia; Rodentia; Cricetidae.
AUACUAAACUGGCAGAUUAAAUACCAUGGUCACAGAUGUGGUUUUCCAAGAGCAAUGCUUACUUAUUGCACUCUAGAUGUGCUGACCCCUGCAAUCUUCUCUAUUGUGGAAAACUCGUCAUCAUAAGGGGGAACUGUGUUUAUGUUCCCCCU